GACGAACGCUGGCGGCGUGCCUAAUACAUGCAAGUCGAGCGGACUGAUUAAGAGCUUGCUCUUAUGACGUUAGCGGCGGACGGGUGAGUAACACGUGGGCAACCUGCCCUGUAGAUCGGGAUAACACCGAGAAAUCGGUGCUAAUACCGGGUAAUAUCUGAGAUCACAUGAUCUUAGGUUAAAAGAUGGCUCCGGCUAUCACUACAGGAUGGGCCCGCGGCGCAUUAGCUAGUUGGUAAGGUAAUGGCUUACCGAGGCGACGAUGCGUAGCCGACCUGAGAGGGUGAUCGGCCACACUGGGACUGAGACACGGCCCAGACUCCUACGGGAGGCAGCAGUAGGGAAUCUUCCGCAAUGGACGAAAGUCUGACGGAGCAACGCCGCGUGAGUGAUGAAGGGUUUCGGCUCGUAAAGCUCUGUUGUUAGGGAAGAAACAGUACCGAACGAACUAGGUCGGUACCUUGACGGUACCUAACCAGAAAGCCACGGCUAACUACGUG
RNAcentral lists this ribosomal RNA (500 nucleotides) under uncultured bacterium. RNAcentral describes it as "partial 16S ribosomal RNA". It matches the Rfam family "Bacterial small subunit ribosomal RNA", at positions 28 to 507 of the family's 1533-position model. The record is from RNAcentral.